This is a non-coding RNA of Vicugna pacos (alpaca), 4222 nucleotides long. The record is from RefSeq and is a predicted model, not a curated record. Lineage: Eukaryota; Metazoa; Chordata; Mammalia; Artiodactyla; Camelidae.
CCCUCCGGUCGUUAACACCCCAGAUGGAAGCCCCGGAGCACAGGCCUCAGACGCCCGUCAAGGCCCUGGAGCGGAGGUGGAGCCGGCCAGGCCCAGCGCUCCCGUGUCAGACCCGACGCCGACCCUGGCGACUCCUCGAUCCCAGGAGUCUCUGACGGGAGCCCGCUCCUCAGGAGGCCGCGCCGCGGAGGAGCCGCUGACAGGACAGCCUCUGCUGAUAGGACGGCCGCCGCCGAAACUCAUCUGCAAGACUUCUGUUGCCCUGAGAUCACCUCCGUUCAUCACCACGCAUUCUGGAAUUAAAGUUCCUUUCAGCACGCAGAGGAGCACUUCCAAACGAAGCAAAAGGCAUGAGCAACGCAGCGGUGUGCUUUCGGGACAUGUUUGCCAAGCACUCAGCUUAAAAACAGCUCGUCUCUAGUCUCUGAGGAUACAGUGAUGCGUUUCCCACGGUCCUGCGCCCUGUAGUGCUGGGAAAGACUCACCACCAACUAUCCCAAAACAAAACAAAGCAGAAACAAUUGUCUACUGUCAGACAGUGAUGGCAGGGAGGACGGAAAUUAAGAAGAACAAUGGAGAUAGUGAUGGUCCAGGCCAUGGCUGUCCGUCAGAAAACCCACAAUUGGACAUUGUUCAAACCACAGGGCCACACUGGGCCAUCCAGGUGGCGGCUGGGAGGGUCCUGCCCAGGGUGCUGGCCUGAGGUGCUACGUUGGGAGUGAAGGGGGGAAACAAGGAGGAUGGAAAGGACACGUCGCAGAACCCAGGACGGAUGUGACCUCGACCGCUGACGCCUGACCUGGAGGGCGAGGAGCCCCGGCCCACCUUACUAUGCUGAAGUUCUAGCCCUUAGAAGCUCAGAAUGUGGCUGUACUUGGAGAUGAGGUCUUUACAGAGGUGAUGAAGGUGAAAUGAGGUUAAGUGGGUGGGUCCUCAUCCCCAAGGACUGGUGUCCUUGUAAGAAGAGGAGAUCAGGACACAGACACGCGCAGAGGGGAGGCCAUGAGAUGACUCGGGGAGGAGAUGGCCGUCUGCACGCCCAGGAGAGAGGCCUCCGAAGAAACCAGCCCUGCCCACACCCUGCCCGUGGACUUCCCGCCCCCAGGCUGUGAGAAACACCGUCUGCGGAGCUGGCGGGGACGAGCACGGCAGUGACACUCGACUCUCUCCGCACUUUGUUCUGUAAUUUAUCUCCGUAUAUCAUUCCAUUUAUCAAGGAGGCAUUUUUUUAUCGAAGCAUAAUUUCCAGUGUACAGCAUCACGCUUCAGUUGUACGUAUACAGAUGUAUAGUUGACACGUGUGAAUACUAACUACGUAUGUAAGACAGAUAAACAACAAGCGCCUUCUGUACAGCACGGGGAACUGCAUCUGGUAUCUUCUGUAAUCAGUUAAGCAGUAAUAAAUAUUUUCCAUGGCUACUUUUACUAUAGAAGAGACAGUUAUGCCUCACCCUCCCUCAUCCCCCAGCCCUCACCCCACCAUUCUAACAGAGGGUAAUCCAGCCCUAGCUGAAGCCAACGCUCACUUGACCCCCUUGGAGUUAAUAAUUUUCCCCCUUUCUUCCCUCUGCACCUGUUAGCAUUUCUGCCGCACUCUCCACGGUGAAGUCCCUCCCAAUGUCCCGCAGAUGCAGCCAGCACGGCAGGCAGCCACAUCUCGGUUCCUUCCUGGGGCCCCUGGAGACCUGGCCAGUCCAGACUGGCUCCUCCGGGGACUUGCUUCUCAGACGCCCUUUGAACUUGGCUCCUGUGUUGGGUGCUGUGUCCAGGAUUCUGUUUCCUCCUCACAGCUCACUCCCUCGUUUACUGCAGCAGGAUUCUCAGCCAUUUCAUGAGAAGGGUACGGGGGAGACAUCUUUUUGAGAUCUCUCAUAUCUUAAAAUGCAGUUAUUCCAUGCACACCGUUGAUUGAUAUUUUUGCGAGGGGGAAAUUCUGAACUGGAAAAUCACGCCCUUCCCCAGUUUUGAGGGCUUGCCGCGUUUUCUUCCGGCGGCCAGGACGGCUGUUAGGAGUCCGGGCUGUCCUGGUGUCUGAUCGUCGAGCAUGCGCACUGUCCUUCCGCGGGUUUCCGCCUGGUCUCCUGACCUGGCCUGUGUUCAUUCAGCCUCCUAGAUUCUUGAUGUGCAGCUUCUGCUUGGAAAACAGAAUAUUUUAGUGUGAAGAAAUACCCUCUGAUUUUGAUAGUAACUGGUAAGUCCGUACGCCCCGUUUCUCGGAUCUGUCUUUCUGAAAGUCCUGUUAAUUGGAAAAUGAGCCCCCUGGACUGAGGUCUGAAUUUUUCAUAUUUUCUUUCUUAUCACUCUCCCUAUUAUUUGACAGCAUCUAGUAUUUCGUGAGAGAUUUCCUUAUUUGCAUCUUCAGUGUUCCAUAGUUGUGCUAAAUGGCAGUUCUAUUUUACUCCCUAAGAGCUCUGUUAUUUUCUCACCGCAGAGGUUCUUUCAUGCUAUUUCUUUUCUGUUGUAUAAAUUCAGUUCUUUCUCUUGUCUCUCUGGGGAUGUUUGAUAUGCUUUCUAAAAGUUAUUCUGUCAUAUUUGUUUUUUUUUGCAUUUUAUAUAUUUUGAGGCUUUAUCAUUAGCUGUAAAGACAACCUGAAUUGUUAUGUCAACCUUGGACCACAACACGUCUGCUGGUACUUCCUGACUCACAUUCCAGCUUGUCUGAUAUUGGUACACUUGCCCCAGUGGUCUUGUAUGAAGACCUUUUUCUGUCCUUUUCUCUCAACCUUCCUAUGUGUUUAUACUUACAAGUCUUCCACGUAGGGCAUCCAGGUGGGUUUUAGACACAGUGACAGUCAUUAUCUUGUCUAUCAAAAACUGACAUAAACAACAGGUGUACAAGCAGGUAUACAAAUCACGCGUCGCCCUGGAGCAGUAAUCUUAGAGUCAUCCCUGCCUAGGACCUGUCCUCUCGUCCCCGGUCUUGGUCUGCCCCAUACUGAAAUGUCACCUCCGUUUCAGCGUCUGUGGACGCCAGAGUGUGCAGGACCUGUGGACACGAGCCAGGGCUUGAGUUUCCUUUUCAGUGGAAAGGGGAGUGUUGGAAAGCUCUGCUACUCCGUCGCUCCAGCUGCUGUACUGCGGAGAGGAUGCAAGUGGAGGAGGGUAAGGGCAAGGGACCACUCCGCCCCACUGCAGUGAUCAGGAGCGGAGGGGUGCUGGCCGGUGUCCAGUGGUACCAAGGAGCAUGGGAGGGAGAUGACAGAUUCGGGAUAUACCUUAAACAUGGAGUCAGCUAAAUUUGAUAUUGGACUGGAUUUGCAAUGCGAUGGAAAGAGAGGAAUUGGGGAGUGUUUUCAAGGUUUUCACUCUGAGAAAAUGGAAGGGUGAAGACCCCACUCACUGAGUGGCAAAGACCAAGUGAAGAGACUGGGAAGUUAGGAUUUCAACUCCAGGUGCGUCAAGCCGUAUUGAGCGUCUGAAACUUCUAGGGAAGUCGCCGUUGGUCUCUGAUGAGUCUGCUGGAUGAGUCUGGAGUCCGUGAAAAAGAUCAGGAGUAAACAUACAAACCUGGAGGUUGUUCAUGUAUAACCACAGACUGGACUGCUCCUCAAAGGAGUGGAGAUGAGAGAGGAGAAGCAGCAAGGGAGGAACUUGGGACAUCCGCCUUAGGAGUCCAAAACAGAGCCAGAAAGUGUGUUUUCCUGGAAGCCAAGUGAGAAACUAUUGACAAAGAACUGAGUUACCAACCAUAUCAAAUAUUGAUAGGGUAAGAGCGGGCACUGACCCCCGACUUCAUGACAGUGAGGGUCGAGGGAGGCUGACGAAGCCUGUGGUUCUGGAGUGGGGGUGGGGCGCCAGUCUGAGCAGAAGGAUUUACUAAGAAGAGGAGACCCCGAGCGGGGGUUUGGCUGCCGAGACGAGCAAAGAAAUGUGGCGUGAAGAAGAGGCAGUGGGUUAAGGGAAGAUUUUAUCCUUGCUGGUUUUGCUUUCAUUUUCUUUUCUUUCGUUCUUUUCCUUUCCUUUCUUUGUGGUUGGGCUACACGAUUUUUUAAACAAAUACAUUGCAAUUUUAGAUUUGGAGGGGAAGUUAUGACUCAGAAUUGUUCAAGUUGCAGAAAUUUUGUGAUCAAUGCCAGAUUAACACGGAGGCCCGAGAAAGUAGGAAAUACACGUGAAAGAGCUUUAACGCAGAUUCAUGGUUGUUCACUACUAAGCUCCAGGGAAAUAACCUAGUGUGAUGAGUUUAAAUGUAUCUGAAUCACCUGAAAUAAAACGCUAUACA